GAUGAACGCUGGCGGCGUGCCUAAUACAUGCAAGUCGAGCGAACGGACGAGAAGCUUGCUUCUCUGAUGUUAGCGGCGGACGGGUGAGUAACACGUGGAUAACCUACCUAUAAGACUGGGAUACCUUCGGGAAACCGGAGCUAAUACCGGAUAAUAUUUUGAACCGCAUGGUUCAAAAGUGAAAGACGGUCUUGCUGUCACUUAUAGAUGGAUCCGCGCUGCAUUAGCUAGUUGGUAAGGUAACGGCUUACCAAGGCAACGAUGCAUAGCCGACCUGAGAGGGUGAUCGGCCACACUGGAACUGAGACACGGUCCAGACUCCUACGGGAGGCAGCAGUAGGGAAUCUUCCGCAAUGGGCGAAAGCCUGACGGAGCAACGCCGCGUGAGUGAUGAAGGUCUUCGGAUCGUAAAACUCUGUUAUUAGGGAAGAACAUAUGUGUAAGUAACUGUGCACAUCUUGACGGUACCUAAUCAGAAAGCCACGGCUAACUACGUGCCAGCAGCCGCGGUAAUACGUAGGUGGCAAGCGUUAUCCGGAAUUAUUGGGCGUAAAGCGCGCGUAGGCGGUUUUUUAAGUCUGAUGUGAAAGCCCACGGCUCAACCGUGGAGGGUCAUUGGAAACUGGAAAACUUGAGUGCAGAAGAGGAAAGUGGAAUUCCAUGUGUAGCGGUGAAAUGCGCAGAGAUAUGGAGGAACACCAGUGGCGAAGGCGACUUUCUGGUCUGUAACUGACGCUGAUGUGCGAAAGCGUGGGGAUCAAACAGGAUUAGAUACCCUGGUAGUCCACGCCGUAAACGAUGAGUGCUAAGUGUUAGGGGGUUUCCGCCCCUUAGUGCUGCAGCUAACGCAUUAAGCACUCCGCCUGGGGAGUACGACCGCAAGGUUGAAACUCAAAGGAAUUGACGGGGACCCGCACAAGCGGUGGAGCAUGUGGUUUAAUUCGAAGCAACGCGAAGAACCUUACCAAAUCUUGACAUCCUUUGACAACUCUAGAGAUAGAGCUUUCCCCUUCGGGGGACAAAGUGACAGGUGGUGCAUGGUUGUCGUCAGCUCGUGUCGUGAGAUGUUGGGUUAAGUCCCGCAACGAGCGCAACCCUUAAGCUUAGUUGCCAUCAUUAAGUUGGGCACUCUAAGUUGACUGCCGGUGACAAACCGGAGGAAGGUGGGGAUGACGUCAAAUCAUCAUGCCCCUUAUGAUUUGGGCUACACACGUGCUACAAUGGACAAUACAAAGGGCAGCGAAACCGCGAGGUCAAGCAAAUCCCAUAAAGUUGUUCUCAGUUCGGAUUGUAGUCUGCAACUCGACUACAUGAAGCUGGAAUCGCUAGUAAUCGUAGAUCAGCAUGCUACGGUGAAUACGUUCCCGGGUCU
Molecule: ribosomal RNA, 1372 nt
Filed under: uncultured bacterium
Lineage: Bacteria
Description: bacterial SSU rRNA
Rfam family: Bacterial small subunit ribosomal RNA
Source: RNAcentral